GCAUAGCUCAGUUGGUUAGAGCGUGGUGCUGAUAAUGCCAAGGUUGCAGGUUUGAUCCCCAUACAAGACUGCUGCA
This is a non-coding RNA of Podarcis lilfordi (Lilford's wall lizard), 76 nucleotides long. The record is from the annotation of a GenBank genome assembly. Lineage: Eukaryota; Metazoa; Chordata; Lepidosauria; Squamata; Lacertidae.